GGGGGCGUCAGGUUUCGACGGGUAUGUAAAAAGUACGAUCGCAUGUGGAGGAUUUCUGGUCACCUCCUAAAAUAUCCAGGAAAAACAAUAAAUGCCGAUAACGGCUACUUAGCUGCCGCUUAACUGACAGCAGCCAUCUUAUCAUGAAUCUGCCUGUGGUUUAUGAAUAAGGUGUCAUCUUUAGCAGGCUGGUUUGGAUCUUUGUCUGUGAGAUUCAAAUGAGAUAUUUCAGACUGGCUUAUCGGGCAGUUGAUCAUUUCUAAACGAUAAGUAAGACACUCUAAAUGAUCUAAACAUGUAGAAGUCUUGCUGGAGUAUAUUCGGACGGCGGUUCAAUUCCGCCCGCCUCCACAC
This 354-nucleotide transfer-messenger RNA is filed under the name bacterium. RNAcentral describes it as "JABHXA01 sp018657495 Standard tmRNA". It matches the Rfam family "transfer-messenger RNA". Rfam says of the family: Bacterial tmRNA, also known as 10Sa RNA or SsrA, is named for its dual tRNA and mRNA-like properties. The record is from RNAcentral. RNAcentral also lists the same sequence under 1 other name.